RNAcentral lists this ribosomal RNA (441 nucleotides) under uncultured bacterium. RNAcentral's name for it is "partial 16S ribosomal RNA". It matches the Rfam family "Bacterial small subunit ribosomal RNA", at positions 338 to 795 of the family's 1533-position model. The record is from RNAcentral.
CCUACGGGAGGCAGCAGUGGGGGAUAUUGCACAAUGGGGGGAACCCUGAUGCAGCGACGCCGCGUGGGUGAAGGAGUGCUUCGGCAUGUAAAGCCCUAUCGGCAGGGAAGAAGCAAGACGGUACCUGACUAAGAAGCCCCGGCUAACUACGUGCCAGCAGCCGCGGUAAUACGUAGGGGGCGAGCGUUAUCCGGAUGCACUGGGUGUAAAGGGAGCGUAGACGGCCAUGCAAGCCAGGGGUGAAAGCCCGGGGCCCAACCCCGGGACUGCCCUUGGAACUGUGCGGCUAGAGUGCGGGAGGGGCAGGCGGAAUUCCUGGUGUAGCAGUGAAAUGCGUAGAUAUCAGGAGGAACACCGGCGGCGAAGGCGGCCUGCUGGACUGCGACUGACGUUGAGGCUCGAAAGCGUGGGGAGCGAACAGGAUUAGAUACCCCAGUAGUC